This 55-nucleotide ribosomal RNA is filed under the name uncultured bacterium. RNAcentral describes it as "partial 16S ribosomal RNA". The record is from RNAcentral.
CGGUACGCCAACCGCAAGGAGGCAGCCGCUCAAGGAGUGACUGGUAACUGGGGUG